UACGGAAGGUCCGGGCGUUAUCCGGAUUUAUUGGGUUUAAAGGGAGCGUAGGCGGAAUCCCAAGCGUGUUGUGAAAAUCAGGUGCCCAACAUCUGACUUGCAGCGCGAACUGGGAUCCUUGAGGGCGCACGACGCAGGCGGAAUUUGUGGUGUAGCGGUGAAAUGCUUAGAUAUCACGAAGAACACCGAUUGCGAAGGCAGCUUGCGGGAGCGCCACUGACGCUGAAGCUCGAAAGUGCGGGAAUCAAAC
Molecule: ribosomal RNA, 250 nt
Filed under: uncultured bacterium
Lineage: Bacteria
Description: partial 16S ribosomal RNA
Rfam family: Bacterial small subunit ribosomal RNA
Source: RNAcentral